RNAcentral lists this ribosomal RNA (250 nucleotides) under uncultured bacterium. RNAcentral's name for it is "partial 16S ribosomal RNA". It matches the Rfam family "Bacterial small subunit ribosomal RNA", at positions 305 to 550 of the family's 1533-position model. The record is from RNAcentral.
CGGUCACACUGACACUGACAUACGGGUCAGACUCCUACGGGAGGCAGCAGUCGGGAAUUUUGGGCAAUGGGCGAAAGCCUGACCCAGCAACGCCGCGUGAAGGAUGAAAUCCCUCGGGAUGUAAACUUCGCAAGAACGGGAAGAAUAAGCGAGAGUUAAUAUCUUUCGUGAUGACGGUACCGUUUGUAAGCUCCGGCUAACUCCGUGCCAGCAGCCGCGGUAAUACGGGGGGAGCAAGCGUUGUUCGGAU